RNAcentral lists this long non-coding RNA (2060 nucleotides) under Equus caballus (horse). Its description in RNAcentral is "lncRNA (ENSECAG00000059925.1)". The record is from RNAcentral. Lineage: Eukaryota; Metazoa; Chordata; Mammalia; Perissodactyla; Equidae.
GUCAAAGGCAGCGUCCCUGCUGAUUUCCAGCCACAAGGAGAGAGGCACCUGGACAAAGCAACAGGAUGUGUCUUGAAAACUGUAGCAACUGACCUUUAAAACUCCAGAGGCGAACCGUGCCUAUCUCGAAAUGUUGAGGUCCUCAUGCUCAAACGAUUGUUUCACCGGCCCCAUGGAAAGCCAACAUCAGCAUCCGUGUGCACGCUGGCUUCACCGGCUUGGCUGUUCCAUGGGGAAAUGCACAUCACAAUUACGCGGUUCACCGGCCCCGUGGAAAGACAACAUCAACAUCCGUGUACCCGCUGGCUUUCCCUGGCUCGGCCAUUCUGUGGGGCAGUGAAGCUGGUCGCUGGCUCGAAGCCCCCGGUGUUGGCCACCAGACAGCAGGGCCAGGCACUCCCAAGGGUCAGCUCACCCACCACCAGCUUUCCGGAGGCUGGAGACAGCAGGAGCUUUCUCUUCAGCAAUCCGCAGGCUUCCAUCUGCUCUCUGUCUGGUUUUGGGGAAGGGGAGGUGAGUCCUGAACUGGUUGUUUUCUGGCAGCUUGCCAUUGCUUUCUGGGAAGAGGAUUUGCUGAAUUCCUCACGCUGCCGGAGGGAUGUCCUGACACCCGCCCUGAUCACAUUUGAAGGCACAUGGUUUCUGCAAUCUGAGGACCCAGCACUGUGAGUCUGUGGCCCAGAGGGAUUUUGAGAAGACCGGAUUGGAAGGCAGAGCACAACGGCUUGUUUCCAGAAAGUUGCUGUGGAUCCUCAGCCUCCUCCUAUUUUUGAAUCAAAGUCCUGAGAUCUUUAAAAUGCCAGCAACGUGACAAGGAGCAGAUUCCUGGCGCUCCUCACCUGUGCUAGCCCCAGGGACCGCCGCCUUUCGUGUCACACAGUGGACGUGAGCUCCACGCAGGCAGGGACCAUGGCGGGUCACGCUCGCUGAUGAAGCUACGGGGCUGGCAGAAUGAGGCUGAGCCUCCCUCUCCUGUGACCUGCUGUCAUCCUGGAUCUUCUUCAGCUCCUCAGAUAGCAGUGAAUAUUCCUGGGAGCAGGGCAGCAGGAGGGCGCCUGAGUGCCGGGACCCUGUUUUCUGGAGGACCGCCGUGACAGCCUGGCAGGGCACAGAAGGGCAGAUCUCUAAGCCUCAGGGUCCUGUUGGUGAGAUGAGGACAGCACCGGCCCCCCCGUGGUCUGUUGGAGGAGUCAGUGAUAACUUGCAUGGGGAGCAGAGGCCUGGCCAAAGGUGGAGGUGCCCAGUGACGGGGCUCCUUCCCCCGAUGGGCGGCCAAGCUGAGCUUCCCUGCGCUCCUGGGACGCACCCUCCCCACCUCGUCUCUCCGCUCCCCAGAUAGAGGGUACCUCAGCUCCCAGGGGCCACCUGCGCAGGGCGGUUUGGUGAUGUGAUGGGCGGUGUCGUUGGUGAGGAUGGUGACUUUGUGGGUUUGAUCCCGGGGCUCCGAGUGUCAUCUCAGUGACCUCGUCUUCAUGCCUCCACGUAAGGUCAGCUGCUGCCCCCAUUUCACAGGCUCAAAGCGGACACGGAGACCUUGGCUGUCAGAGACCGCGACAUACACCGUAGCAUCGUGUUUAUGUUGUGACCCAGAACCUUCCCUCUUGGGACCUGUGCUAAAGAAAUAAAGGUUUAUGGACGCAGACGUUGCCUUCAGCAGGACGAUGGGAGUGAGAAGCUGGAAGGGCCUGCGUCCCACAGAGGGACUCUUGGGAAAUUCUGACAGGGACACAGAAGAAGAAGAGGAUUGACUGACAGUGUCGCCCCUGGGGAAGUCAGGUUCCAGAAGAGCACACGCCCUGGAAUCCUCCUUACCUGAUACCCACCCCUGCACAUGCACACAUGGGCACACUGGCGUAUACAUGUGCACACACGCACGCACACACGUGAACAGGCAUCAGACCCACAUAUGCUCAUGCACACAGGGCACAGGCAGACACACACUCACUUGCACAUGUACACACUUGCACAUGCACACACGUGCACACAAAGGGAAAGGACUGGAAUGGUGAACACCGCCUGUUAAGGGCACUCCUGAGUUUCCACUUAAUUCUUAAUUCCUG